Molecule: small nuclear RNA, 191 nt
Organism: Bacillus rossius redtenbacheri
Lineage: Eukaryota; Metazoa; Arthropoda; Insecta; Phasmatodea; Bacillidae
Product: U2 spliceosomal RNA
Exons: 1
Source: RefSeq, a predicted model, not a curated record
AUCGCUUCUCGGCCUUUUGGCUAAGAUCAAAGUGUAGUAUCUGUUCUUAUCAGCUUAAUGAUCUAGCCCCGAGAAGUGAUUAGUUAAAUAACUGUGCUCAAGAAAAGAUCGUCGCAGAGGUGUUCGUGCUGUAUUCACUCCGGCACGAAACGACCAUACUUCCAGCAGUUCCGAGGAUGGAUCGACUGCUG